RNAcentral lists this ribosomal RNA (253 nucleotides) under uncultured bacterium. Its description in RNAcentral is "partial 16S ribosomal RNA". It matches the Rfam family "Bacterial small subunit ribosomal RNA", at positions 524 to 776 of the family's 1533-position model. The record is from RNAcentral.
UACGGAGGGUGCGAGCGUUGUUCGGAAUCACUGGGCGUAAAGCGCGUGUAGGCGGCCCAUUAAGUCUGAUGUGAAAGCCCGGGGCUCACCCCCGGAAGUGCAUUGGAAACUGAUGGACUCGAGUCCCGGAGAGGAGAGUGGAAUUCCUGGUGUAGCGGUGAAAUGCGCAGAUAUCAGGAGGAACACCCGUAGCGAAGGCGGCACUCUGGGCCGAUUCUGACACUGAGGAGCGAAAGCGUGGGGAGCGAACAGG